RNAcentral lists this ribosomal RNA (550 nucleotides) under Staphylococcus sp. Its description in RNAcentral is "partial 16S ribosomal RNA". It matches the Rfam family "Bacterial small subunit ribosomal RNA", at positions 378 to 910 of the family's 1533-position model. The record is from RNAcentral. Lineage: Bacteria; Bacillati; Bacillota; Bacilli; Caryophanales; Staphylococcaceae.
ACAGAUUGACUUGUUACGGCUUGUUGUGCCGGUAUUCAACUCUACUGAUUCUGUUGUUAGGGAAGACCAAGUUUGGUACUAACUGUACAGGUCUUGACGGUACCUAACCAGAAGCCCGGGGCUAAACUCCGAGCGAGGCAGCCGGGGUAAUACGUAGGUGGCAAGCGUUAUCCGGAAAUUAUUGGGCGUAAAGGGCGCGUGGGGGGUUUUUUUAAUCUUGAAUGUGAAAGCCCCCGGCUCAACCGGGGGAGGGUCAUUGGGAAACUGGGAAAACUUGAGUGCCGAAGAGGAGGAGUGGAAUUCCAUGUGUAGCGGUGAAAUGCGCAGAAGAUAUGGAGGAAACCCCAGUGGCGAAAGGGGCUCUCCGGGCUGUAACUGACGCUGAGGUGCGAAAGCUUGGGGAUCCAACAGGAUUAGAUACCCUGGAAGUCCACGCCCGUAAACGAUAGUGCUAAAGUGUAAGGGGGUUCCGCCCCCUUAGGGCUGCGGCUAACGCAUUAAGCACUCCCCCCUGGGGGGGACGCCCGCAAGGUUGGAACCUCAAAAGGAA